GGAGGAACCCCCCUGUUGCUUCCGCCUCCCGGGGCGCAGGCGCUGGGCGCGGCGGGGAAGGGACUCGGCACUGGGGAAACCCGGAGUUUCAGCCAGGGUCCCAGGGCUUCCUUCCCGGGUUCCUGCCGGAAAACUUUUCUCCUCCGCCCGGAAGCCUCGAUGGGGCACCUGUCCUGCUCUGGCCUGCCCUGUGCUCAGGAAGCUGGCGGUCCCCCUCAGUGGAUCUUCACCCACAGGGACAACCUGCUGCAGACCGGGUAGGAGGGAGGCAGGGGCCUCUUCCCCUCUCCUUCCUGGCCUGGCCCCACACCCACCAGUGUUGGUUUCACUCUGUGGCUACGAUUCUUCCUGGGUGCCCUUUCCAUUGCACAACUCCUCUAGGCUCUACGAACAGAACUUCUCCCCGCCCCCAAGCCUCUUAGGGUGAGACAUGUUGUCGGUCUGCCAUUGUUGCUGGUCCCUAAAUAGCAGCACCCUUUGAAGGAUCCUUGAACCAUGACCACACCGCAACAAAGAGUCCUUCAUCAAACUCGCUUCCAAAUCCCCUCCCAAGAACACCUUCAGUUUCCUGCAAGAACCCUGACUGCUGAAGCCGGAUUUUGACUAAGCUUCUACCUUGUAAACCGUGACUGUGGGAUUGGGGUCGAGGCGCAAUCAGAGGUUGUAUAAGGCACUAGAUCAAGGCUGCCUGUCUGUCAGGAGUGUCUGCUUUAUUCAGUAGUAAAUGUGAAUUGUUUUUCAUUCUGUUGUGAAUACUGUUGGUUGACAAUGCAGCAGCCAUGCCCUCUCUAUCCUUGCUGGUUCAGGUAUCCACUCUGUGUGGCUAAGGGUAAACUCUGUCUCUUGAGAAAAUCUUGGUAACUCCAUUUCUCUUUCCAACAAUUGGCUUCAAACAAGCUCAAGUCAAUGAGUCCCAACAGGAAGCCUGCUGGGGGUUGUCUGGCAAAGGUUUUCUCACUCCUACAGGAACAUAAAGAGGAAAUGCUCCUUUUUCCCUGGUGAAUGUUGCAUUCCCUGUCUGGAUGCAAUGCCUGGUGCUCCGCAGCCCUUUGCACUUAUAAGAGAAGGUGGCCGGAAGAGCAUCUUCACCCUGGGGUGGCCGCCUGGGAAGAUGAGAAGAGCAGGAGUCCUUGGUGGCACAACCAGGCAAUUCACCAAAAUCCUGCUGCCCUCACCUGGAAUUUCCUGCUAUGAGAGACGUCUCCGUUUAAACCACAUGAGCUGGAUUUUCUGUUUCUAACACAUGUCAGCAUCUUCACGGUAAAUCUAAGAAAAAAAAAUCAGGGCUAUUAAAAAACAAAGUCCAACUCACCCUGUGCUAUGGUCUGAAGGUGUCCUCCCAAAUUCACACGUGGAAACCUAAUCCCAAAUACCUGAUACCUAAUCCCAAAUAUUAAGAGGUGGGGGCCUUGGGAGGUGGUUAGGAAUGGGAUUAGUGCCCUUUAAAACUGAGGUUUUUGGGAGCCUGCUUGCCCUUUCUGCCAUAUGAAGAUGCUUAGAAGAGGCCUUCUAUGAAGCAGAGAACUUUUCUCAGAUGCCAGAUCUGCUGGGACCUUGAUCUUGGAUUUCUCAGCCUUCAGAACUGUGGGAAGCAAACUUCUGUGUGUAUGAAUAGCCAUCUAAAGGAUUUUGUUACAGCAGCCUGAGCAGACUAAGACACCCUGUGAGUCAGUUAUUUUUGGCUGUGUCACGAGUGACCGCGAGUGCAGGAGCUGAAACGGCAGUGAGUGGGUUACCAUUUCUCAGGACCCUGCGGAAUUGGUGCGAUGGUGCUUCUGCUCCACCUGUUGUUGGCUGGGAUUGUCCUGCAGCUGCAUUCUUCUGGGGGUCAGCUGGGGCUGGAAGCUUCCUGUGGUCUAGUCACACAGCUGGGGUCUCAGCUAGGGUGAUAGAACACUGGGGGCAGGCCGGCCUUGCUGUCUCUCUCUGGCUUCUCAUCAUUCAGUGGUCUAGCCUGAGUUUUUUACAUGGCAGCUCAGGAGGGUCAAUGUGGACGCUAUACAGCCUGUAAGGCCCGGGUUUGGAAGUCCAAGAAUAUGACUUCUACCAUGUUCUACUGGUGAAUAUAAAUUCCAAGGCCAGCCUAGAUUCAAGGGAUAAGAACGUAGAUUUCACUCCUUGAUGGGAGGAUCCCAUGUACAGACAGGGAUCCUUAUGAGGGAUUAUGAGAACUCCUAAUCCUUAUGAGGGAUUAUCAUACAGAGAAUUUAUGGGGGAUUAUCUUUGGAAAUAAUCUACCAUAGACUGAAUAAAUGAUAAUGUAAUGU
RNAcentral lists this long non-coding RNA (2267 nucleotides) under Homo sapiens (human). RNAcentral's name for it is "HSALNT0375360". The record is from RNAcentral. Lineage: Eukaryota; Metazoa; Chordata; Mammalia; Primates; Hominidae.